AGUGAACGCUGGCGGUAGGCCUAACACAUGCAAGUCGAACGGCAGCACAGUAAGAGCUUGCUCUUACGGGUGGCGAGUGGCGGACGGGUGAGGAAUACAUCGGAAUCUACUUUUUCGUGGGGGAUAACGUAGGGAAACUUACGCUAAUACCGCAUACGACCUACGGGUGAAAGCAGGGGAUCUUCGGACCUUGCGCGAUUGAAUGGGCCGAUGUCGGAUUAGCUAGUUGGCGGGGUAAAGGCCCACCAAGGCGACGAUCCGUAGCUGGUCUGAGAGGAUGAUCAGCCACACUGGAACUGAGACACGGUCCAGACUCCUACGGGAGGCAGCAGUGGGGAAUAUUGGACAAUGGGCGCAAGCCUGAUCCAGCCAUACCGCGUGGGUGAAGAAGGCCUUCGGGUUGUAAAGCCCUUUUGCUGGGAAAGAAAAGCAGCAGGUUAAUACCCCGCUGUUCUGACGGUACCCAAAGAAUAAGCACCGGCUAACUUCGUG
This 492-nucleotide ribosomal RNA is filed under the name uncultured bacterium. RNAcentral describes it as "partial 16S ribosomal RNA". It matches the Rfam family "Bacterial small subunit ribosomal RNA", at positions 29 to 507 of the family's 1533-position model. The record is from RNAcentral.